GCCUUCGUGGUGUAGUGGUCAGCACGCUCGGUGCGCAACUGAGAGGUCCGUGGUUCGAUUCCUGGCGAAGGCG
This 73-nucleotide transfer RNA is filed under the name Stegodyphus mimosarum. Its description in RNAcentral is "tRNA-Ala for anticodon CGC". It matches the Rfam family "tRNA". Rfam says of the family: Transfer RNA (tRNA) molecules are approximately 80 nucleotides in length. Their secondary structure includes four short double-helical elements and three loops (D, anti-codon, and T loops). The record is from Rfam by way of RNAcentral. Lineage: Eukaryota; Metazoa; Arthropoda; Arachnida; Araneae; Eresidae.